RNAcentral lists this ribosomal RNA (497 nucleotides) under uncultured bacterium. Its description in RNAcentral is "partial 16S ribosomal RNA". It matches the Rfam family "Bacterial small subunit ribosomal RNA", at positions 28 to 507 of the family's 1533-position model. The record is from RNAcentral.
GAUGAACGCUGGCGGCGUGCCUAAUACAUGCAAGUCGAGCGAACAGACGAGGAGCUUGCUCCUCUGACGUUAGCGGCGGACGGGUGAGUAACACGUGGAUAACCUACCUAUAAGGCUGGGAUAACUUCGGGAAACCGGAGCUAAUACCGGAUAAUAUAUUGAACCGCAUGGUUCAAUAGUGAAAGACGGUUUUGCUGUCACUUAUAGAUGGAUCCGCGCCGCAUUAGCUAGUUGGUAAGGUAACGGCUUACCAAGGCAACGAUGCGUAGCCGACCUGAGAGGGUGAUCGGCCAUACUGGAACUGAGACACGGUCCAGACUCCUACGGGAGGCAGCAGUAGGGAAUCUUCCGCAAUGGGCGAAAGCUUGACGGAGCAACGCCGCGUGAGUGAUGAAGGUCUUCGGAUCGUAAAACUCUGUUAUUAGGGAAGAACAAAUGUGUAAGUAACUAUGCACGUCUUGACGGUACCUAAUCAGAAAGCCACGGCUAACUACGUG